RNAcentral lists this ribosomal RNA (435 nucleotides) under uncultured bacterium. Its description in RNAcentral is "partial 16S ribosomal RNA". It matches the Rfam family "Bacterial small subunit ribosomal RNA", at positions 29 to 507 of the family's 1533-position model. The record is from RNAcentral.
AGCGAACGCUGGCGGCAGGCUUAACACAUGCAAGUCGAACGGGCAUAGCAAUAUGUCCGUGGCAGACGGGUGAGCAACGCGUGGGAACGUACCUUUUGGUUCGGACCAACACAGGGAAACUUGUGCUAAUACCGGAUAAGCCCUUACGGGGAAAGAUUUAUCGCCGAAAGAUCGGCCCGCGUCUGAUUAGCUAGUUGGUAGGGUAAUGGCCUACCAAGGCGACGAUCAGUAGAUGGUCUGAGAGGAUGAUCAGCCACAUUGGGACUGAGACACGGCCCAAACUCCUACAGGAGGCAGCAGUGGGGAAUAUUGGACAAUGGGCGAAAGGCUGAACCAGCCAGGCCGCGUGAGUGAUGAAGGCCGGAGGGUAGUAAAGCUCUUUUGUGCGGGAAGAUAAUGACGGUACCGUAAGAAUAAGCCCCGGCUAACUUCGUG